This 253-nucleotide ribosomal RNA is filed under the name uncultured bacterium. RNAcentral's name for it is "partial 16S ribosomal RNA". It matches the Rfam family "Bacterial small subunit ribosomal RNA", at positions 524 to 776 of the family's 1533-position model. The record is from RNAcentral.
GACGUAGGGGGCGAGCGUUGUCCGGAUUUAUUGGGCGUAAAGGGCGCGUAGGCGGCUUGGCAAGUGGAUGGUGAAAUCCCUCGGCUUAACCGAGGAACUGCCGUCCAAACUGCUUCGCUUGAGACCGGGAGAGGUGAGUGGAAUUCCCAGUGUAGCGGUGAAAUGCGUAGAUAUUGGGAGGAACACCAGUGGCGAAGGCGGCUCACUGGACCGGUACUGACGCUGAUGCGCGAAAGCGUGGGGAGCAAACGGG